GUCCAAGAAGUCUCAUUCAGCACACAUCGCGAUACUUGCCAUCAGUUUACAAGAGCCGCAGGUUGGGUGAGUUAUACAGUCUAUGCUGAAAAGACAUAAAGGAAUCAGUCACCCCAGUCGUGUUUGUGGAGAGGUAUUCCUUCAGAAAUGGAGAAGACAGAAAGCUGCAGAGGCAGGAUUGUUUGCAGAUAAUGCUGUUCUUCUUUUUCAGAAGUUUUUGGUGAGCCAACUCUCACAAACCUUCCUAAAAACUAAAAGAGCUAUUACUGAGUCUCGGCUAAUCUUGCCAUGGUCAGCUCUUCCCAGAAGAGAAGGAAGACCAAGGAAAUUAUUUGCUCAGGAUGAGAAAUGAAGAUGGCCAUCUUGUGCUCAAACAAACAGAAGUCCUCUGAUGAUCUCAUCAGCCAAAUGAGGGGUUUUGAACAAGUGAUGCUCUUGAAAGGAGUGAAAGAAGAGGAUGUGGUAAAUUGUCUUAAAGCAGCUUGAAGAAUGGUCUGGGAUGUUAGGACUGAGAGAUCCUCUGACUGAGAGAAGCUACACCACAUCAGUGCUGGAUAUCAACCACAAACUGUUUCCAGACACGAGAGAAGAAGAUCAUGAUGGGGAGAUGAAACCAGUUUAGAUGUGAUGAUAAGGAAUCAUUAUUUUCUGAAACAGGAUCAAAUGUCUUAUAUGUAUCACAUGAUCUGUAUCACAGUUGACUGGAUGGGACUGUGUGACUCUUAAGGACAUUUCAUCACUCAUCUGUGUGAACUGAUUAAUAUAUGAGGUUAAUGUAUUUUUGAUUAUGAAUAAUUAUUUUCCUUGAAUCUUAUUUGUCUUGAUGCUACUUUAUCAUCUGUAUAGUCUAUGCUUCAAUAAAAUGAAAAUUGUGAA
Long non-coding RNA from Cyprinus carpio (common carp), 876 nucleotides. RefSeq lists it as uncharacterized. Lineage: Eukaryota; Metazoa; Chordata; Actinopteri; Cypriniformes; Cyprinidae. The record is from RefSeq and is a predicted model, not a curated record.